GGUUUUUCUUUUUCUUUUUC
This 20-nucleotide microRNA is filed under the name Macrophomina phaseolina MS6. RNAcentral's name for it is "miR-2325c". Lineage: Eukaryota; Fungi; Ascomycota; Dothideomycetes; Botryosphaeriales; Botryosphaeriaceae. The record is from RNAcentral.